UGGGGAAUAUUGGACAAUGGGGGGAACCCUGAUCCAGCCAUGCCGCGUGUGUGAAGAAGGCCUUAUGGUUGUAAAGCACUUUAAGCGAGGAGGAGGGUACUGGUAUUAAUACUACCAGGUACUGGACGUUACUCGCAGAAUAAGCACCGGCUAACUCUGUGCCAGCAGCCGCGGUAAUACAGAGGGUGCGAGCGUUAAUCGGAUUUACUGGGCGUAAAGCGUGCGUAGGCGGCUAAUUGAGUCGGAUGUGAAAUCCCCGAGCUUAACUUGGGAAUUGCAUUCGAUACUGGUUAGCUAGAGUGUGGGAGAGGAUGGUAGAAUGCCAGGUGUAGCGGUGAAAUGCGUAGAGAUCUGGGGGAAUACCGAUGGCGAAGGCAGCCAUCUGGCCUAACACUGACGCUGAGGUACGAAAGCAUGGGGAGCAAACAGG
RNAcentral lists this ribosomal RNA (430 nucleotides) under Pseudomonadota bacterium. RNAcentral describes it as "Proteobacteria bacterium partial 16S ribosomal RNA". It matches the Rfam family "Bacterial small subunit ribosomal RNA", at positions 355 to 776 of the family's 1533-position model. Lineage: Bacteria; Pseudomonadati; Pseudomonadota. The record is from RNAcentral.